GGGUCCAUGACAAUAUCGUAAUUGGAAAUGAGCCGUAUGUCUCCAGCACACGCAAAGAACCAGGAUGCCUUGUUGUGAAUCUUGCUUGUCGUGGCUGUGGUUCCACACUCGGAAUCAUGUACACAUCAACCCCAAAAGAGCUGGAUUUCAAGAGAUCGUAUUUCUGCUUUGGUGUAGAAAAUAUUGAGAGUUAUGUAUUAGGGUCUGCUGACCAGCAGGUGGCAGUGGUGGACAGUAAAGACAUGCCAGUGACACUGGAGCUACAGGAAAUUGUUGAGCAGCAAAUGAUAAAGAUCAAAGCUCUGGCAGUGACGAUAGGACACAGACUCAUGGAGAUUGAGCUUGACCUCCAGACUAAGUCAGAAAGCUAAUAUGGGCUGCACUUAGCUAAACGAUGCUAAUCAGGUCCUGUGCUCUUUGUCUUUCCUUUAGUUAGAUAAAAAGGUUCUGUGUGUUGUUUUGUUUAUGUAUACGUUCUGUCUCUCUCUUUUUGUCAUCACUUUCCUCAUGUUUCUUGCUGGUUUGGUUGUAUUAGGCAUGUUUGACUGAACAUUUGAUUUAAAAUAACACAUUUUUGUAA
This 580-nucleotide long non-coding RNA is filed under the name Astyanax mexicanus (Mexican tetra). RNAcentral's name for it is "lncRNA (ENSAMXG00005003595.1)". The record is from RNAcentral. Lineage: Eukaryota; Metazoa; Chordata; Actinopteri; Characiformes; Acestrorhamphidae.